Xiphias gladius (swordfish) is the source of this 266-nucleotide long non-coding RNA. RefSeq lists it as uncharacterized. The record is from RefSeq and is a predicted model, not a curated record. Lineage: Eukaryota; Metazoa; Chordata; Actinopteri; Istiophoriformes; Xiphiidae. The transcript is spliced from 3 exons.
UCUCAUUUCAAGCCACAGGAACCCAGGAAGUGACACACCGCUGAGGUUAAUGCUAGCUCAGCACCGACACCGCUUGACGACUGCCGCACUGCGAGGCUCUUCUUCUGCUUGUCACUGGACAUGUGGUCACUGAACCGUGUGCCCUCCGCAGGCUGAAGUCAGCCUCCUGGGAAAUGCGGAGUAAACCGACCCCCACACACACUGUUGUUAGACCACAAAGCAUGGCAAGGCUGUCAGUCAAAGUUAGUGCAGUCCACUCUUUGAAG